AGUCGAACGGCAGCAUGAUCUAGCUUGCUAGAUUGAUGGCGAGUGGCGAACGGGUGAGUAAUACAUCGGAACGUGCCCUGUAGUGGGGGAUAACUAGUCGAAAGAUUAGCUAAUACCGCAUACGACCUGAGGGUGAAAGUGGGGGACCGCAAGGCCUCAUGCUAUAGGAGCGGCCGAUGUCUGAUUAGCUAGUUGGUGGGGUAAAGGCCCACCAAGGCGACGAUCAGUAGCUGGUCUGAGAGGACGAUCAGCCACACUGGGACUGAGACACGGCCCAGACUCCUACGGGAGGCAGCAGUGGGGAAUUUUGGACAAUGGGCGAAAGCCUGAUCCAGCAAUGCCGCGUGUGUGAAGAAGGCCUUCGGGUUGUAAAGCACUUUUGUCCGGAAAGAAAUGGCUCUGGUUAAUACCUGGGGUCGAUGACGGUACCGGAAGAAUAAGGACCGGCUAACUACGUGCCAGCAGCCGCGGUAAUACGUAGGGUCCAAGCGUUAAUCGGAAUUACUGGGCGUAAAGCGUGCGCAGGCGGUUGUGCAAGACCGAUGUGAAAUCCCCGAGCUUAACUUGGGAAUUGCAUUGGUGACUGCACGGCUAGAGUGUGUCAGAGGGGGGUAGAAUUCCACGUGUAGCAGUGAAAUGCGUAGAGAUGUGGAGGAAUACCGAUGGCGAAGGCAGCCCCCUGGGAUAACACUGACGCUCAUGCACGA
RNAcentral lists this ribosomal RNA (707 nucleotides) under uncultured Ralstonia sp. RNAcentral's name for it is "bacterial SSU rRNA". It matches the Rfam family "Bacterial small subunit ribosomal RNA", at positions 60 to 756 of the family's 1533-position model. The record is from RNAcentral. Lineage: Bacteria; Pseudomonadati; Pseudomonadota; Betaproteobacteria; Burkholderiales; Burkholderiaceae.